GACAGAGGGGGCAAGCGUUGCUCGGAAUCACUGGGCGUAAAGGGCGCGUAGGCGGGGUCGCAAGUCGGUCGUGAAAGCCCCGGGCUCAACCCGGGAGAGUCGGCCGAGACUGCGGGUCUUGAGGGGCGCAGAGGAGACUGGAAUUCCCGGUGUAGCGGUGAAAUGUGUAGAGAUCGGGAGGAACACCGGUGGCGAAGGCGGGUCUCUGGGCGCACCCUGACGCUGAGGCGCGAAGGCGUGGGGAGCGAACGGG
Molecule: ribosomal RNA, 253 nt
Filed under: uncultured bacterium
Lineage: Bacteria
Description: partial 16S ribosomal RNA
Rfam family: Bacterial small subunit ribosomal RNA
Source: RNAcentral